CCUACGGGUGGGCAGCAGUGGGGAUUAUUGCACAAUGGGGGAAACCCUGAUGCAGCAACGCCGCGUGAGUGAUGACGGCCUUCGGGUUGUAAAGCUCUGUUUUCAGGGACGAAAAUGGCGGUACCUGAGGAGGAAGCCACGGCUAACUACGUGCCAGUAGCCGCGGUAAUACGUAGGUGGCGAGCGUUGUCCGGAUUUACGGGGGGUAAAGGGAGCGUAGGCGGGUUUUUAAGUGAGAUGUGAAAUACCCGGGUGCAACUUGAGGGCUGCAUUUCAAACUGGAGGUCUAGAGUGCAGGAGAGGAAGGCGGAAUGCGUGGGGUAGGGGUGAAAGGGUUAGAGAGGAGGACGAAACC
This 355-nucleotide ribosomal RNA is filed under the name uncultured bacterium. RNAcentral's name for it is "partial 16S ribosomal RNA". It matches the Rfam family "Bacterial small subunit ribosomal RNA", at positions 338 to 708 of the family's 1533-position model. The record is from RNAcentral.